This 433-nucleotide ribosomal RNA is filed under the name uncultured bacterium. RNAcentral describes it as "partial 16S ribosomal RNA". It matches the Rfam family "Bacterial small subunit ribosomal RNA", at positions 29 to 507 of the family's 1533-position model. The record is from RNAcentral.
AACGAACGCUGGCGGCAUGCCUAACACAUGCAAGUCGAACGAGACCUUCGGGUCUAGUGGCGCACGGGUGCGUAACGCGUGGGAAUCUGCCCUUGGGUUCGGAAUAACAGUUGGAAACGACUGCUAAUACCGGAUGAUGACGUAAGUCCAAAGAUUUAUCGCCCAAGGAUGAGCCCGCGUAGGAUUAGCUAGUUGGUGAGGUAAAGGCUCACCAAGGCGACGAUCCUUAGCUGGUCUGAGAGGAUGAUCAGCCACACUGGGACUGAGACACGGCCCAGACUCCUACGGGAGGCAGCAGUGGGGAAUAUUGGACAAUGGGCGAAAGCCUGAUCCAGCAGUGCCGCGUGAGUGAUGAAGGCCUUAGGGUUGUAAAGCUCUUUUACCCGGGAUGAUAAUGACAGUACCGGGAGAAUAAGCUCCGGCUAACUCCGUG